CCUACGGGAGGCAGCAGUGAGGAAUAUUGGUCAAUGGACGGAAGUCUGAACCAGCCAUGCCGCGUGCAGGAAGACGGCUCUAUGAGUUGUAAACUGCUUUUGUACAAGGGUAAACCUGAAUACGUGUAUUCCGCUGAAAGUACUGUACGAAUAAGGAUCGGCUAACUCCGUGCCAGCAGCCGCGGUAAUACGGAGGAUCCAAGCGUUAUCCGGAUUUAUUGGGUUUAAAGGGUGCGUAGGCGGAUUGAUAAGUUAGAGGUGAAAUGUCCGAGCUUAACUCGGGAACUGCCUCUAAUACUGUUGAUCUAGAGAGUAGAUGCGGUAGGCGGAAUGUAUGGUGUAGCGGUGAAAUGCUUAGAGAUCAUACAGAACACCGAUUGCGAAGGCAGCUUGCCAAUCUAUAUCUGACGUUGAGGCACGAAAGCGUGGGGAGCAAACAGGAUUAGAUACCCUUGUAGUC
RNAcentral lists this ribosomal RNA (460 nucleotides) under uncultured bacterium. RNAcentral describes it as "partial 16S ribosomal RNA". It matches the Rfam family "Bacterial small subunit ribosomal RNA", at positions 338 to 795 of the family's 1533-position model. The record is from RNAcentral.